AAUGGUAGCUGAUCUAACUUAGACUCAAGUCACCUGAGUUAUCCUUCUUUUACAUUUCUUUUCUUUUUAUCCUUCCCACUACAUGUUUCCUUAAUAUUGCAUAGAUCUAGCGCUUUUUGGUGUAGCUCCCAGUCUUUGAGUUGUAUUCGGGCUCCAAGACUAGCUUGUGGUAGUCGAAUGUUAAACGGGAACAUCCCGGCUCAUAUAUCAGCUUUAAUAGUCGGUAUGAUAAUGUCCUUUGGAUGGGCCACGCCACAGGAAAAAGCUAAAGCCUAGAUGUUCAUGCAUAUCACUCAUUUAUUUUAACCACGACAUAUUUGUUUAAAUGCAUUCAUCCUCCACUUUGCAUUGCCUUGCAUAUAAAAAUUAAAAAAUAAUAAUGAUAAUAAAAUAAAAAAAUAUUUGCCUCUUGUCUUCAUCACUAAUUAUCUUGUCUCUAGUAUAAUGAAUCUUGUUCAUCCUAUCAUGCUCCCUCUUUGUAUGUUAGCAUGCUCUGGUUUGGUUAUACUAAUCGCUCGAGUGAGUACCUACAUAGUCUUUCUAAAUUAAGCAUGGUGCUUAGGUUAAAUAGACUACCUUAAUCAAACAAGACAUGGUGUUAAGUUUGAUUAUUGAACCAAACAUACUUGCAUGGAACUUGGUUGCACUUUUGGAAUAACCCCUACAGCAAGAACAUCGAUAUCUCUAUGGGUAAGUCAUCAGAUCAUUCAUGGAGACAACUUGAGAUCCUCAUGGUCGAAGACAAGUUUCUUGGCCAAAGAGAACUUCGUUGCAACUAAGAAGGGCCAAUGCUAUGACUCAUCAUCUUCGAGCUAAGUGGCCACCUUCUUAAGAGUUUUCUAUGAGUUUGAUCC
RNAcentral lists this long non-coding RNA (854 nucleotides) under Sorghum bicolor (sorghum). RNAcentral describes it as "long non-coding RNA (SBIC_LNC015944)". Lineage: Eukaryota; Viridiplantae; Streptophyta; Magnoliopsida; Poales; Poaceae. The record is from RNAcentral.